CUAAGUUAAGGACCUUGUGAUGGUUAAGUCUAUAUGUCAACUUGACUGCGCCCCAUAUUCCUUUAACAUUAUUCUGGAAGUCGCGUGAAUAAAUGUCCAUGGGUCAAGAGAGAAAAGAUGGACCCCUGGAGUACCAAGACACCCAACCACUUUCCAUGAAGGAGAAGAGGUCUUGAACCACAAAGGGGCAUGGCAGACUGGUCUGGAGGGCACAGCAGGAGAAGGAGGAUGCUUUGGCUUUUCAACCUUGUCUUCAGGAUGUUCUACUUCCCUCAAAAGUCCUACCCUCAAACAGCAAACCUCCAGCAGGAGCAGGCAGAGGCAUCCCCACUGUCCAGUUUCACAGCAAUGAUCAGGAGAACUUCUGGGGUCAACUUCUAACUUCUAUUCAGCAAUUUCAAAGACCGGCCAGAUAAGAGAACUUUAUUAACUCCUUUAUCAACUGUCAGCUUCCUUUCAAAUUACUCCUAGGCAAAAAGUUUUGUUGCUAUAAUUACUGUUGUUAUUCUGGGGGUGGGGGGGGUGGGGAGGAGGGAGAUGGAUUUUAUUUUAAAUGUUUCGUAGUAUUUUAAAAAGACAAGAUGUGGUUGGAAAAGAAAACUUAAAAGGUAUACAGAACAAAGUCUAUCUCCCACUAGUUCUCCAUUUGCCCAGUUCCCAGCUGCAGCCAUAAGAAACCACUGUUAUUAGUCAUUUGUGAUUCUUUCUGAAAUGUCUUUUAUAUACACAAGCAAAUAUAAAUACAUAUUCUCCCCACCCACCCACCCAAAUGUUCUUUCACACAAAUGAAAGCAAACUCAACACAAUCUUUUGACACUUGGCCUUUUUUUCAUUUCACAGUGGAUCCUGAAGUUCUUCCCUAUUCGUACAUAAAAUGUUUCUUUUUUUCCCCCCACAAAUACAUUUGUGUACAGCUGACCCUUGAACAAUACAGAGGCUAGAGACACCGAUCCCCUGCACAGUCAAAAAUCUAUGAAUAACUUCUGACUCCCCAAAAACUGAACUACUAAUAGCCUACUGUUGACCAGGAAAGUUACCAAUUACAUAAAGCAGUCAAUUAAUAUAUAUUUUAUGUGUUAUAUGUAUUAUACUGUACCCUUACAAUAAUACCUUUUUAAUUUUUUCUGUAUUUCAAUGAUACCUGGUUCAUCUUAAGAGUUUUUUCAAAUUGUCACAAGUCUCCAAAAAACUUUCCAAUAUAUUUACUGAACAAAAUUUGUGUAUAAGUAGACCUACACAGUUCGAACCAGUGUUGUUCAAGGGUCAAAUGUAUUUCAUAUUUUGUAUGUAUGAUAAUUUUUAAAAAUUCCCUUUUAAUGGAUAAGACUGUUUCCAAUGUUUUGUCAUUAAAAUUAGUACUUCAAAAAAAAAAAAACAAAAUAAGUGUUUUAAUCAAUAACUUUUUACCUACAACAUUUAGCACAUUUGCAAGUAUCAGUGUAGAAUAAAUUCUCAGAACAAGAACUUCUAGGUCCAAGAGUACAUGAAGUUGUGAUUUUGAUAAGUAUUAUUAAACUGUCCUCUACAGGGAUUCUUUACACACCCACCAGCAACACACAUAAACACAUAUAAGCUUCUUUAUAAUCUUACCAAUGAAUAAACCAAAUACAUAAAACCUAAAACAAUAAAAAUUUAGGGAUUUUGCCAAACUCACAUCCCAUCGUUCUUCAUAGCCUUUUAAAUUUUUACUGUGAGGCUGAAUACCUGCCUUCAUAUACUUAAGAGCCAUUCAGCCUUCCUAUCUGUGGCCUACAGAGCCUCUUUACCUCUUAGGUAUAUUAGCCCUUUGUCUAUGAGUUGGGGG
Long non-coding RNA from Prionailurus viverrinus (fishing cat), 1804 nucleotides. RefSeq lists it as uncharacterized. The record is from RefSeq and is a predicted model, not a curated record. NCBI's taxonomy places the organism in Eukaryota, Metazoa, Chordata, Mammalia, Carnivora, Felidae. The transcript has 4 exons.